AUACGGAGGGUGCGAGCGUUGUUCGGAAUUAUUGGGCGUAAAGCGCGUGUAGGCGGUUUGCUCAGUCUGAUGUGAAAGCCCUGGGCUCAACCUGGGAAGUGUAUUGGAUACUGGCAGACUUGAGUACGGGAGAGGGUAGUGGAAUUCCCAGUGUAGGAGUGAAAUCCGUAGAUAUUAGGAGGAACACCGGUGGCGAAGGCGGCUACCUGGACCGAUAUUGACGCUGAGACGCGAAAGCGUGGGUAGC
This 247-nucleotide ribosomal RNA is filed under the name uncultured bacterium. RNAcentral's name for it is "partial 16S ribosomal RNA". It matches the Rfam family "Bacterial small subunit ribosomal RNA", at positions 523 to 769 of the family's 1533-position model. The record is from RNAcentral.